UGGGGAAUAUUGCACAAUGGGCGGAAGUUAGAUGCAGCGACCCCGCGGGGGGGAUGAAGGCCUUCGGGUUGUAAACUCCUUUCGACAGGGACGAAGCGUAAGUGACGGUACCUGUAUAAGAAGCACCGGCUAACUACGUGCCAGCNGCCGCGGUAUUACGUAGGGUGCGAGCGUUGUCCGGAUUUAUUGGCCGUANUUUGNNNNUAGGUGGUUUGUCGCGUCGUCUGUGAAAUUCCGGGGCUUAACUCCGGGCGUGCAGGCGAUACGGGCUGACUUGAGUGCUGUAGGGAAGACUGGAAUUCUUGGUGUAGCGNUGAAAUGCGCAGAUAUCAGGAGGAACACCGAUGGCGAAGGCAGGUCUCUGGCCAGUAACUGACGCUGAGGAGCGAAAGCUUGGGUAGCGAACAGGAUUAGAUACCCUGNAGUCCAUGCCGUAAACGGUGGGCGCUAGGUGUAGGGGGCUUCCACGUCUUCUGUGCCGUAGCUAACGCAUUGAGCGCCCCGCCUGGGGAGUACGGCCGCAG
Molecule: ribosomal RNA, 524 nt
Filed under: uncultured bacterium
Lineage: Bacteria
Description: bacterial SSU rRNA
Rfam family: Bacterial small subunit ribosomal RNA
Source: RNAcentral